RNAcentral lists this ribosomal RNA (483 nucleotides) under uncultured bacterium. Its description in RNAcentral is "bacterial SSU rRNA". It matches the Rfam family "Bacterial small subunit ribosomal RNA", at positions 8 to 507 of the family's 1533-position model. The record is from RNAcentral.
AGAGUUUGAUCAUGGCUCAGAUUGAACGCUGGCGGCAUGCCUUACACAUGCAAGUCGAACGGUAAGGCCCUUCGGGGUACACGAGUGGCGAACGGGUGAGUAACACGUAGGGUGAUCUGCCCUGCACUUCGGGAUAAGCUUGGGAAACUGGGUCUAAUACCGGAUAGGACCACGGUCUGCAUGGAUUGUGGUGGAAAGCUUUUGCGGUGUGGGAUGGGCCCGCGGCCUAUCAGCUUGUUGGUGGGGUGAUGGCCUACCAAGGCGACGACGGGUAGCCGGCCAGAGAGGGUGUCCGGCCACACUGGGACUGAGAUACGGCCCAGACUCCUACGGGAGGCAGCAGUGGGGAAUAUUGCACAAUGGGCGCAAGCCUGAUGCAGCGACGCCGCGUGGGGGAUGACGGCCUUCGGGUUGUAAACCUCUUUCAGCAGGGACGAAGGGUGACUGACGGUACCUGUAGAAGAAGCACCGGCCAACUACGUG